GUGGGGAAUUUUGGACAAUGGGGGCAACCCUGAUCCAGCCAUGCCGCGUGCGGGAAGAAGGCCUUCGGGUUGUAAACCGCUUUUAUUUGGGAAGAAGGAGUAGGGGCUAAUACCCUCUAUGACGGACGGUACCGGAUGAAUAAGCACCGGCUAACUACGUGCCAGCAGCCGCGGUAAUACGUAGGGUGCGAGCGUUAAUCGGAAUUACUGGGCGUAAAGCGUGCGCAGGCGGUUCUGCAAGUCAGCUGUGAAAGCCCCGGGCUUAACCUGGGAACGGCGGUUGAAACUGCAGGACUAGAAUCUGGCAGAGGGGGGUGGAAUUCCACGUGUAGCAGUGAAAUGCGUAGAGAUGUGGAGGAACACCGAUGGCGAAGGCAGCCCCCUGGGCUAAGAUUGACGCUCAGGCACGAAAGCGUGGGGAGCAAACAGGAUUAGAUACCCCAGUAGUCC
Molecule: ribosomal RNA, 450 nt
Filed under: uncultured bacterium
Lineage: Bacteria
Description: bacterial SSU rRNA
Rfam family: Bacterial small subunit ribosomal RNA
Source: RNAcentral